UAUCGACUUAUUUUCAAUCGAACUGCUUGAGUAUCGAGUCACAUUUUUGAUCCAAGUUGAUUGAAUUUAUCAUAGCAUCACAACACCUGGCAACACUCCCACCAGAACCUGGCCGGCUGGUCUCGAGCUUUUCUCAGAGUCUCUCAACCAACUCAGAGUCGAUAGCGCACACUGCACCGGUUUGGCGUCGUCGUCGUCGUCGCUCAAACCAACCUGUGGUGUAUGCAACGGGCGGCCGUCUUGACUGCUUUUGGCGUCGUCGGCGUAGGCUCGCUAGCAUAAGCUGCUUCUGCUGCUCAGUUUGCAUCCAUCGCUCGCUCCGAAAGCACCUUACGCGCGCGCGCUCCCUCUUGCAACGGACUUGAGUCUUUAUGGUCUUGCGUUUCAGUGAUACGCGUUCGUGCGCUUCUGGAUAUAGUUUGCUGAAAGGAGUUUGAAGUGAAGUUUGUAAUUUUGAAUUGAAAAUUUAUAAAUUAGAUUUAGAAAACAAGAUUCUAAGUUUCUCAAAAAAAAAAGUGUACUUGAAACUGUUCUUGAACCGAAGCCAACUAUUGGCAGAGUGCUGAGACAACAGUUCUUUAUGUUAUUUUUAAGCAUAAACCAGUAGGUGAAAAUAGAUGAAACUUUGUUUUGGUUUAGUGCAACUCGGGGAAAGGGAGCUGACGACGUGUGAGAGUGUGUUUUCUUUUGUUCUAGCGAAAUGUUUAGUUUAUUGAACUGAACAGAAAACUAAAAACAAAUCUAAUAAGGAAAAUAUCAUUGUUCAAA
Molecule: long non-coding RNA, 768 nt
Organism: Culex pipiens pallens (northern house mosquito)
Lineage: Eukaryota; Metazoa; Arthropoda; Insecta; Diptera; Culicidae
Exons: 2
Source: RefSeq, a predicted model, not a curated record